RNAcentral lists this ribosomal RNA (274 nucleotides) under uncultured bacterium. RNAcentral describes it as "partial 16S ribosomal RNA". It matches the Rfam family "Bacterial small subunit ribosomal RNA", at positions 523 to 796 of the family's 1533-position model. The record is from RNAcentral.
AUACAGAGGGUGCAAGCGUUAAUCGGAUUUACUGGGCGUAAAGCGCGCGUAGGCGGCUAAUUAAGUCAAAUGUGAAAUCCCCGAGCUUAACUUGGGAAUUGCAUUCGAUACUGGUUAGCUAGAGUGUGGGAGAGGAUGGUAGAAUUCCAGGUGUAGCGGUGAAAUGCGUAGAGAUCUGGAGGAAUACCGAUGGCGAAGGCAGCCAUCUGGCCUAACACUGACGCUGAGGUGCGAAAGCAUGGAGAGCAAACAGGAUUAGAAACCCCAGUAGUCC